UACGUAGGCAGCAAGCGUUGUUCGGAAUUACUGGGCGUAAAGAGUGUGUAGGCGGUGUUCUAAGUCUGUUGUGAAAUCUCCCGGCUUAACCGGGAGGGUGCGGCGAAUACUGAGAUGCUGGAGUGCCGGAGAGGUAAGCGGAAUUCCUGGUGUAGCGGUGAAAUGCGUAGAUAUCAGGAGGAACACCUGCGGUGUAGACGGCUUACUGGACGGUAACUGACGCUGAGGCACGAAAGCGUGGGUAGCAAACAGG
Molecule: ribosomal RNA, 253 nt
Filed under: uncultured bacterium
Lineage: Bacteria
Description: partial 16S ribosomal RNA
Rfam family: Bacterial small subunit ribosomal RNA
Source: RNAcentral